CCCUUAGAUGUUCUGGGCCGCACGCGUGCUACACUGAGUAAAUCAAUGGGUAAGGGAACACGAAAGUGCAACCUAAUCUUGAAAUCCGCUCGUGAUGGGGAUUGACGGUUGCAAUUUUCUGUCAUGAACGAGGAAUACCUUGUAAGCGCGGGUCAUCAUCCCGCGCUGAAUACGUCCCUGCCCUUUGUACACACCGCCCGUCGCUCCUACCGAUUGAGUGGUCCGGUGAGGCUUUGGGAUCUGGGCGGAAAGAGCGUUUCGCUGUUUCUGCUCGGAAAACUCAGUCGAACCUUAUCAUUUAGAGGAAGGAGAAGUCGUAACA
RNAcentral lists this ribosomal RNA (322 nucleotides) under uncultured eukaryote. RNAcentral describes it as "partial 18S ribosomal RNA". It matches the Rfam family "Eukaryotic small subunit ribosomal RNA", at positions 1470 to 1796 of the family's 1831-position model. The record is from RNAcentral.